ACUAACAGGAUUCCCCUAGUAACUGCGAGUGAAGCGGGAAAAGCUCAAAUUUAAAAUCUAAUGGUCCUUGGCCAUUCGAGUUGUAAUUUAGAGAAGCGUCUUCCGCGCCAGACCAUGUACAAGUCUCCUGGAACGGAGCGUCAUAGAGGGUGAGAAUCCCGUCUUUGACAUGGACCCUUGGUGCUUCUGUGAUGCGCUCUCAAAGAGUCGAGUUGUUUGGGAAUGCAGCUCAAAAUGGGUGGUGAACUCCAUCUAAGGCUAAAUAUUGGCGAGAGACCGAUAGCGAACAAGUACCGUGAGGGAAAGAUGAAAAGCACUUUGGAAAGAGAGUGAAACAGUACGUGAAAUUGUUGAAAGGGAAACACUUGAAGUCAGUCGCGUCGAUCGAGACUCAGCCUUGCCUYGGCUUGGCGUACUUCUCGACUUGACGGGCCAGCAUCAAUUUCAUCCCUCGGAUAAUGGCAGGGGAAAGGUGGCACCUUCACCGGUGUGUUAUAGUCUCUUGUCGCAUGCGAGGGGUGGGAUUGAGGAACUCAGCACGCACCUCACGGUGUCGGGGCUUCGGCCCACGUUACGUGCUCAGGAUGCCGGCGUAAUGGCUUUAAAUGACCCGUCUUGAAACACGGACCAAGGAGUCUAACAUGCCUGCGAGUGUUCGGGUGGAAAACCCGUGUGCGUAAUGAAAGUAAAAGUUGGGACCUCUGUCGUGGAGGGCACCGACGCCCGGACCAGACCUUCUGUGACGGAUCUGCGGUAGAGCAUGCAUGUUGGGACCCGAAAGAUGGUGAACUAUGCCUGAAUAGGGUGAAGCCAGAGGAAACUCUGGUGGAGGCUCGUAGCGAUUCUGACGUGCAAAUCGAUCGUCAAAUUUGGGUAUAGGGGCGAAAGACUAAUCGAACC
RNAcentral lists this ribosomal RNA (900 nucleotides) under Lactifluus volemus. RNAcentral's name for it is "eukaryotic LSU rRNA". It matches the Rfam family "Eukaryotic large subunit ribosomal RNA", at positions 64 to 941 of the family's 3401-position model. The record is from RNAcentral. Lineage: Eukaryota; Fungi; Basidiomycota; Agaricomycetes; Russulales; Russulaceae.